Molecule: ribosomal RNA, 439 nt
Filed under: uncultured bacterium
Lineage: Bacteria
Description: partial 16S ribosomal RNA
Rfam family: Bacterial small subunit ribosomal RNA
Source: RNAcentral
CCUACGGGUGGCAGCAGUGGGGAAUAUUGCACAAUGGGGGAAACCCUGAUGCAGCGACGCCGCGUGAGUGAGGAAGUAUUUCGGUAUGUAAAGCUCUAUCAGCAGGGAAGAAAAUGACGGUACCUGACUACGAAGCACCGGCUAACUACGUGCCAGCAGCCGCGGCAAUACGUAGGCGGCAACGGUUAUCCGGAUUUAUUGGGUUUAAGGGGUGCGCAGGCGGAAGAUAAAGUCAGCGGUAAAAUUGAGAGGCUCAACCUCUUCGCGCCGUUGAAACUGGUUUGCUUGAGUGAGCGAGAAGUAUGCGGAAUGCGUGGUGUAGCGGUGAAAUGCAUAGAUAUCACGCAGAACUCCGAUUGCGAAGGCAGCAUACCGGCGCUCAACUGACGCUCAUGCACGAAAGUGUGGGUAUCGAACAGGAUUAGAUACCCCUGUAGUC